This 3272-nucleotide ribosomal RNA is filed under the name Salpingoeca rosetta. Its description in RNAcentral is "Salpingoeca sp. ATCC 50818 Eukaryotic small subunit ribosomal RNA". It matches the Rfam family "Eukaryotic small subunit ribosomal RNA". The record is from Rfam by way of RNAcentral. Lineage: Eukaryota; Choanoflagellata; Craspedida; Salpingoecidae.
UAACUGGUCGAUCCUGCCAGUAGUCAUAUGCUUGUCUCAAAGAUUAAGCCAUGCAUGUCUAAGUAUGAAUAGUAUUCUUGAUACUGUGAAACUGCGAAUGGCUCAUUAAAUCAGUUAUAGUUUAUUUGAUAGUUUGCAACUCGUUUUUCGGAGCGGUGUUGUGCUAGACGGAUAGCCGUGGUAAUUCUAGAGCUAAUACGUGCGACAAGGCCCGAGAGAGAGGUGUGUGUAUGCGCAUUUUUUCUUCUCGAGGGCUGCAUUUGUUAGGUAUAAAGCCAGCAGGAACAUGACUGGUGAAUCAGAAUAACUUUGCUGACCGUUACACAUUUGUGUGUGAUGGUGUCUCAUUCGAAUUUCUGCCCUAUCAACUUUCGAUGGUAAGGUAUUGGCUUACCAUGGUGACAACGGGUGACGGGGAACAUUUGGUUCGAUUCCGGAGAGGGAGCCUGAGAGACGGCUACCACUUCCAAGGAAGGCAGCAGGCGCGCAAAUUACCCAAUCCUGACACAGGGAGGUAGUGACAAUAAAUACCAAUGCACGGUGUUUUUUAUGCACUGUGCAAUUGGAAUGAGAACAAUGUAAAGACCUUAUCAAGGAACAAUUGGAGGGCAAGUCUGGUGCCAGCAGCCGCGGUAAUUCCAGCUCCAAAAGCGUAUACUAAAGUUGUUGCAGUUAAAAAGCUCGUAGUUGGAUUUCAUGCGGGGUUCACGGUGUGUGGUGGGGGUGAGACUCUGUUUCGCCCUUGCCCCGCACUGUUUGGACUCUGCAGUUUUAAUAUUCCCUGGUGGCGCCUUUGGCGCGUGCCCUUGAUUGGGUGUGUGUCAAGUCACGUAGUGGUGGGGCGCUGUUGGGGGCUUUACUUUGAAAAAAUUAGAGUGUUCAAAGCAGGCAGUCAUUUGAUUUGCUUGAAUAGAUUAGCAUGGAACAACGGAAGAGGACUUUUGGGCCUGUACUGUUGGCGUGUGGUGCGGGGUGUGUGGAGUGAGAAACCGCAAGGUUUUCUCAUUCCUCCCUCACCACAUCGGGUCUGAAGUAAUGAUUAAUAGGGACGGUUGGGGGCACUGGUAUUUCGUUGUCAGAGGUGAAAUUCUUGGAUUUACGAAAGACCGCCGACUGCGAAAGCAUUUGCCAAGGACGCUUUCAUUGAUCAAGAACGAAAGUUAGGGGAUCGAAGACGAUUAGAUACCGUCGUAGUCUUAACCAUAAACGAUGCCGGCCAGGGCUCGGUGGGCAGCACAAAUCAUUCUGUGAUGGAGGCGCCAUCGGGACCUUUAGGGAAACCAAAGCGUUUGGGUUCCGGGGGGAGUAUGAUCGCAAGAUUGAAACUUAAAGGAAUUGACGGAAGGGCACCACCAGGAGUGGAGCCUGCGGCUUAAUUUGACUCAACACGGGGAAACUCACCAGGUCCAGACAUGGGAAGGAUUGACAGAUUGACAGCUCUUUCUUGAUUCCAAGGGAGGUGGUGCAACCGUCCAGCGUGCUGUACACGCACAGAUAUAAGAAUGCUCUCAAUGUGUUUCUUCUUCUCAUGUGGGAGAUGUGGAGUUGAUGAUCCGAUGUGGCAAUGCUCAUGUUGAGAGAAGGGAUUCUGUAUGUGAAUGGAGAUGUGUGAAUGAAGAUGUGUGAAUGAGAAUACUGUAAGAGCAAUCACCGAAAUUGAUGAGACUACUUGAAGAAAGAGAAAUGUACUUUGUUGUGUAUGUGAUGAGGGCAUGUUGUUAUGUUGUUUGAUGAUUGUGAACCAUUGUAUUUUUGUUCUCAUUUGCACCUUGAUUAUGUUCGUUGAUUGUUUUGUGUAUUGUGAUUGCUACCAUUCAAGGGAUAUUGUGAGAAGUAGUUACGAGGCCGAGUCAAGCCACCAUGUGACAUUGGGCAUGUGAUGAAGUGAGGUAAAGUGAAGUGAAGUGAAAGGGUAGUGAAUGAUUGAUGUGUUAGUGGGUGCAGGAGAGUGGUUGAUGAUAUUAUGUGUUGUGUUGAUGAAGAGACUCUGAAAAGAUAUUGUAGAGGGGGAGGUGUAACAUGACGUAAAGCAGCAGGUUCAUGAUUUACAGGAGACGGCAGGAAGAGAUUGGUGCAACCAUGUAAGGAGGUUGUUGCUGCAUUACUCCGUGAUGUGAAAGCUAUUGCAAGUGUGGCGUGGUGUGAUGUGAGGAGGAGUGUGAAGAGGAAAGAAGUACAAAUGUAAGAAUAUCUAACAGCAGUUAAGAAUGAACACAAACGACAGUUCAAAUCGAAAGCAAAGCUUUGGUGAAACAUUAGCAAUUUCAGUCAAAAUUGCGAAAAGCUGCGAGAUAGUGCAAAGCGAUCAGGGGUGAGGUGGUGAUUGUUGAUGCAGUCGGCGGGCUGGCCGUCCAGCUUUUGUUGUGAAAUCUCUGUUUGAUUACGGUAAACGGCGAGACCUUGACUUGCUGAUUGGUGUAGGGAAGCGUGCGCUUUCUUGGUGGGGCUGUGCGAAAGCACUCCUCACAUCACACCACUCAGAGGGACACUCGGCGUUGCUAUUGAGCGUAAGCCGAAGGAAGUUUGAGGCGAUAAACAGGUCUGUGAUGCCCUUAGAUGUUCUGGGCUGCACGCGCGCUACACUGACGGGGGGCAGCGAGUAUGCUUUGGGUGUUUGUGGUGGGGAAAGCCUGUGCUUUUUCUUGCCAUGAACAUCUAUUCUGCGCUGGAGGCGUGGGGACUCUGUGAAACCCGUCCUGCUGGGGAUAGAAGCUUGGCAUUGGGGAUAGAUGGGGCUUUGCAAACUGUGCGAAAGACUCCCCACAUCACACCACUCAGAGGGACACUCGGCGUUGCUAUUGAGCGUAAGCCGAAGGAAGUUUGAGGCGAUAACAUGCCUGUGAUGCCCUUAGAUGUUCUGGGCUGCACGCGCGCUACACUGACGGGGGCAGCGAGUAUGCUUUGGGUGUUUGUGGUGGGGAGCGUGAAAGCGUUUCUCUUGCCAUGAACAUCUAUUCCUGCGCUGGAAGGCGUGGGGACUCUUGUGAAAACCCGUCGUGCUGGGGAUAGAUGCUUGCAAUUAUUCAUCUUGAACGAGGAAUUCCUAGUAAGCGCAAUUCAACAGAUUGCGUUGAUUACGUCCCUGCCCUUUGUACACACCGCCCGUCGCUACUACCGAUUGAAUGGUUUAGUGAGGCCUCGGGAUUGGCGCGUGGGCGCUGGCAACAGCUGCCCAUGUCAUCUUUUGCUGAGAACCUGGUCAAACUUGAUCAUUUAGAGGAAGUAAAAGUCGUAACAAGGUUUCCGUAGGUGAACCUGCGGAAGGAUCAUUC